UGUUUCAACGAAUAGUGAUCGUUUUUAAAAUUAGUAAAUAAUUUAAGUUGGUUAGUAAAUUAGACCAAGACACAAACAUGGAGUUUCGGCACGUACCGAAAUGUAAAGUAAUGAAUUUAUCAAUACUUUUACCUUUAAGAUUAGCUAUGUUAUAGAAUUUUAACAUUUUUAUCUGUAUAUAUUUCUACGAUUUAGUGCUUGUGCAUAACAAAACGGACUCACCUUGCUCGAAAUCCCACUUCCAACUCAUCUUUGGUGAGCAGGGGACGAAGGGGACUAACGGAAUGAGUACUUAUACUUGUAAAUAAUUGAACAAAUUAUAAAUAAAUAAGUAGUAUAGUAUUUUACCUGAGUUUACCUGUCAAAAAAAUGCGCGCAAUUGUAAUCAAAAACUGCGCGCAAACGUAAUGAUUUUUGCGCGCAAAUGUAAUGGUAAUGCGCGCAAACGUAAUGCACCG
RNAcentral lists this long non-coding RNA (458 nucleotides) under Mytilus galloprovincialis (Mediterranean mussel). Lineage: Eukaryota; Metazoa; Mollusca; Bivalvia; Mytilida; Mytilidae. The record is from RNAcentral.